UUGCUAGAAGGCGUCGAGCGGCGGACGGGUGAGUAAUGCUUAGGAAUCUACCGAGUAGUGGGGGAUAGCCAUUGGAAACGAUGAUUAAUACCGCAUAUAUCCUACGGGGGAAAGCAGGGGACCUUCGGGCCUUGCGCUAUUCGAUGAGCCUGAGUGAGAUUAGCUAGUUGGUGGGGUAAAGGCCUACCAAGGCGACGAUCUCUAGCUGGUCUGAGAGGAUGAUCAGCCACACUGGGACUGAGACACGGCCCAGACUCCUACGGGAGGCAGCAGUGGGGAAUAUUGCACAAUGGGCGAAAGCCUGAUGCAGCCAUGCCGCGUGUGUGAAGAAGGCCUUAGGGUUGUAAAGCACUUUCAGCGAGGAGGAAAGGUUAGUAGUUAAUAACUGCUAGCUGUGACGUUACUCGCAGAAGAAGCACCGGCUAAUUUAGUGCCAGCAGCCGCGGU
Molecule: ribosomal RNA, 447 nt
Filed under: uncultured Gammaproteobacteria bacterium
Lineage: Bacteria; Pseudomonadati; Pseudomonadota; Gammaproteobacteria
Description: bacterial SSU rRNA
Rfam family: Bacterial small subunit ribosomal RNA
Source: RNAcentral